RNAcentral lists this ribosomal RNA (3389 nucleotides) under Nautilus pompilius. Its description in RNAcentral is "eukaryotic LSU rRNA". It matches the Rfam family "Eukaryotic large subunit ribosomal RNA". Lineage: Eukaryota; Metazoa; Mollusca; Cephalopoda; Nautilida; Nautilidae. The record is from RNAcentral.
ACCCGCUGAACUUAAGCAUAUCAGUAAGCGGAGGAAAAUAAACCAACUGGGAUUCCCUUAGUAGCGGCGAGCGAAGAGGGAUACAGCCCGACACCGAAUCCUGAAUCGACGAUGAUAACGAUGAUUACGGGACAUGUGGUGGAUGGGAAUUUAAACUACCGUCGGAUAUUGGAAAACUCCUAAUCGUUCCGAGUUCAUUCGAAAAGGGCUUUUCCCAUAGAGGGUGUUAGGCCCGUAGGGACGUAAAUUUACACGGAGUACCGUCGUCGAGUUAAUUCCCGGGAGUAACGUUGCUCGUGAGUGCAGCGCGAAGUGGGUGGUAGGUUCCAUCCAAGGCUAAAUAUUCGGACGAGUCCGAUAGCGAACAAGUACCGUAAGGGAAAGUUGAAAAGGACUUUGAAGAGAGAGUUCAAUAGAACGUGAAACCGUCGUGAGGUAAACGAACGGGACCGAACGAAUACGAUACGAUGGGAAUGAACGUGCCCUACGAUUAAAAGUGAGUUAACACGUACGUCGCGGUUGUUAAACAUAAUCGGUCGGUUACCUAUUAAUCUAUGGGUACGUUAUUGCCUAAACGUUCGCAGCGUUGUCGUAAUCGGCAUCGAACGAAUAUAGUCGAACGAGUAUAGAGUCUUUUUGUGAAAAACGAUCUUCUCGUUGUUGUUUGGAAACAUAUUACGUUACCGAUGCCGUAGGUUUGAUUACGACAUUUAGUAGGUAACCCGUACGUCCCGUCUUGAAACACGGACCGAGGAGUCCUAAACACGCGCGAGUCGAAGGGAAAUUACUAAACCCGUAGGCGAAGCGAAAGCGAACGAGAGGACACACACAUCGUGGGAUCCCGAACGCGUACGAUAAUCAAUAAGGUACCAACGGACGGGCGCACCACCAUCCCGAUUGCUGUAAAAAGCGAACGGAGAAGAGUAGCGCGUGUUUAGGGACCCGAAAGAUGGUGAUCUAUGCUUGGGCGGGACGAAGCCAGAGGAAACUCUGGUGGAAGUCCGCAACGUCUCUGACGUGCAAAUCGAUCGUCUGACCCGAGUAUAGGGGCGAAAGACCAAUCGAACCAUCUAAUAGCUGGUUCCCUUCGAAAUUUCCCUGAGGAUAGCCGGUGCUCGUUAUAAGCAGUUCCAUCCGGUAUAGCGAACGAUUGGAGGAUUAGGAGUUUUUUAAUAAACUUCGUCCUAUUCUCGAACUAAAAAUUGGAUGGGAAUGACAAUCUCACCAAAUCGGAGAUGUGUCAAAAUAAUAAUAUACGGUGAGGUACAGAGUAUAACGAAUGCGAGAGUGCCGUGUGGGCCUCUCAUGGUAAGCAUGAGUGGCGAUGUGGGAUGAACCAAGAGUACGGCUAAGGCGCCUAACGUUGACGCUCAUCGGAUCCCAAGAAAGGUGUUGCUCGAUAGAGACAGCAGGACGGUGGCCACGGAAGUCGGCAUCCGCUAAGGAGUGUGUAACGACUCACCUGCCGAAUCGAACUGCCCUGAAAAAGGAUGGCGCUAAAGCGUCAGGCCGAUGCCGUUCCGUCGUCGUAUAACAAUAUGAACACGAAAGUAGACGACGACGAGUAGAAGGGCGUAGCGGUGUGCGUUGAAGUUUUAUAGAUGCGAAUCUAAAUGGAGCCUCCGCUAGUGCAGAUCUCGGUGGUAGUAGCAAAUAUUCAAACGAGAACUUUGAAGGCCGAAGUGGAGAAGGGUUCCUCGCCAACGUCGUUCGGACAAGGGUUAGUCGGUCCUAAGACAAAGGAAAAUUCCUUAUACAAAUACGGAUUAUACAUGUAAUCCAUUGGUCGAAAGGGAAUCGAGUUAAUAUUCUCGAACCCGGCUUCGGAGAAACGAAAAGAAUAAAUUUCUUUUCGGUGAGCGGUAACGCAAACGACCUCGGAGACAUUGUCGGAUGCCUCGGGAAGAAUUCUCUUUUCUUUUUAAGAGACCCGUCCGUACCCUGGAAUCGGUUCGGCCGGAGAUAGGGACGUGGUGAUUCUCGAAGAGCGUUACGGUUUCACGUAACGUCCGAUGCGCUUUCGACGAUCCUUGAAAAUCCGAGUGAGUAUAACACAAAUCUCGAGCCGGUCCGUACCCACAUCCGCAACAGGUCUCCAAGGUGAACAGCCUCUGGUCGAUGGACUGAAUGUAGGUAAGGGAAUUCGGCAAAAUGGAUCCGUACCUUCGGAAGAAGGAUUGGCUCCGAGGGCCGGGUCGUUCGGGCCUAAGUUAUUUUAUUGAUGGAGGUUAAUAAAAAAACGAAAAGGCUUAAAAAAAAUAAACGAUGGAGUAUCGUUUAUUAUAAUAUACGUUCGACGAGAAAUGAACGGUCAACUCGGAACUGGUACGGACAAGGAGAAUCCGACUGUUUAAUUAAAACAUAGCAUCGCGAAGGCGGGUGAUCCGUGUAGACGCGAUGUGAUUUCUGCCCAGUGCUCUGAAUGUCAAAGCGAAGAAAUUCGAAUAAGCGCGGGUAAACGGCGGGAGUAACUAUGACUCUCUUAAGGUAGCCAAAUGCCUCGUCAUCUAAUUAGUGACGUGCACGAACGGAUUAACGAGAUUCUCGCUGUCCCUACCUACCGUCCAGCGAAACCACAGCCGAGGGAACGGGCUCGGAAUUAUCGGCGGGGAAAGAAGACCCUGUUGAGCUUGACUCUAGUUCGAUGUUGCGAAAGGAUGCUUAAGGUGUAGUGUAGGUGGGAGUCGUUCUAAACAUUGCCGUUUAAGUUCGACGUAAUUGAAACACCACCACUUUGGCAGUUUUUUCGCUAAUCCGAUAAUGUGGUUAAGCAGCCGAAUUUAAUAGGAAGUAAAGUUUUUAGCGUGUGGAAACUGAACCAUAAUCGGAGACAUCAUCGAUCGGGGAGUUUGACUGGGGCGGUACGUCUGUCAAAAGGUAACGCAGACGUCCUAAGGCGAGCUCAACGCGGUUAGAAACCACGUUUAGAGCAUAAGGGUAAAAGCUCGCUAGAUCUCGAUUUUCAGUAUGAAUACAGACCGUGAAAGCGUGGCCCAUCGAUCCUUUCUGUAUCGAGAACCAUAAAUUAAUAAAAUUCGAUCGAGAGGUGUCAGAAAAGUUACCACAGGGAUAACUGGCUUGUGGCGGCCAAGCGUUCGUAGCGACGUCGCUUUUUGAUCCUUCGAUGUCGGCUCUUCCUAUCAUGUGCGAAGCAGAAUUCGCCAAGCGUUGGAUUGUUCACCCACUAACAGGGAACGUGAGCUGGGUUUAGACCGUCGUGAGACAGGUUAGUUUUAUCCUACCGAUAAAGUUAAGUCGUCUUGAUGGUAACGUUCCGUUUAGUACGAGAGGAACGACGGAUCCGGAUCAACGGUUCGCGUGCUCGUUCGAAUGGACGAUGGUGCCAAGCCGCAUCCGGGCGAUAACGACUGAACGCCUCUAAGUCAGUA